UACGUAGGGGGCUAGCGUUGUCCGGAUUUAUUGGGCGUAAAGAGCGCGUAGGCGGCCGAGUAAGUCCGACGUGAAAUCUGGAGGCUCAACCUCCAGCGGUCGUUGGAAACUACUCGGCUAGAGUCCGGAAGAGGAGAGUGGAAUUCCUGGUGUAGCGGUGAAAUGCGCAGAUAUCGAGAGGAACACCGGCGGCGAAGGCGGCCAACUGGACGAGUACUGACGCUGAGACACGAAAGCGUGGGGAGCAAACAGG
RNAcentral lists this ribosomal RNA (253 nucleotides) under uncultured bacterium. RNAcentral's name for it is "partial 16S ribosomal RNA". It matches the Rfam family "Bacterial small subunit ribosomal RNA", at positions 524 to 776 of the family's 1533-position model. The record is from RNAcentral.